GCGGGGCGCGGCGGCCUGAGGCGGGUGCAAAUGGCGGCGCUUGCCGCCAUCUCGCAGCGCGGCCGGUGGCGCCGCGGCUCUGCGAGGGAAGCCCUCGGCCUGGCGGCGGUUUAAACGCACAUCUCCUACGGCUUCGCGCCCAGGGAGCGCCUUGUCCGGGGCCAGUGCGGGUACAGCCCGGGGAGCAUCCAGGUGAACGUGUGACGGGUGCCCAGUGCUCUUCUGCUUUCGUGGCCAUGCUGCUCUGCGAUCUGCGCCGCAGUCACACUGCUGUGAGCUCUUCUGGAAAGAGGGGAGCCAAACCGAAAGGGGCCAUUGCUGCCCGCUGCUUGCCUGACCUGUUUGCUGUCCGAGGCGGGGUUCUGCGCGGCUGAAGUACGCGAGGCCUCAGGACUUAAGAACCUUUUUCCAAUCUUUCUUCCCUCUGUGAUAUUUAAGAAUGAUAGAGUUGUCAGCACCGGAAGAGACCUCAAGGACCAUCUAGCUCCAACCCCCCUGCCAUGGGCAGGGACACCUCACACUAGAUCACGUUGCUGAGAGCACCAUCCAGCCUGGUCUUAAAGACCUCCAGGACUGCGGCUUCCGCCACCUCCAUGGGCAACCUCUUCCAGUGUCUUACGACCCUCACAGUGAACUUAUUUCUAACAUCUGAUUGAGUCAACCCACUUCUUGUUUUGCUCCAAAAAGAAUUAUGGAAUCACCUGUGUAACCUGCGUGAAAAGUAAAGAAAUUUCCUUAACAUAAUGGACAAACUAUACGAAAGCACCCAAUCCUUUUAUGUGAAUCGUGCAAACUGCCCAGAGAAGUUACAGAUGCCCCAGCCCUGGGGGAGUUAAAGGUCAGGUUGGGUGAGGCUUUGAGCAGCCUGAUCUGGUGGAAGCUGUCCCUGUCCAUGGCAGGAAGGUAGAUGAUCUUUAAAGAUGUUAUGAGUCACCUUCACUUUGGAAGUUAAGUAUCAUUUCUGGCCAUCACCACAAGAAGGGGAUCCUCAGCCUGGAAGCAGGAGAAGGCAAGAUAAAGAAGACCUGAAAUGGAAGACGUGAAGAAAAAUAAGAGGUGAUCAAGGAAAAUUAAAUACAACCUUCUCCCUCCUUCCCCUUGCCCCCCCUUUACUCUGAAAGUAAAAGGAAUUGACAUAAUUUGCAUGGCUUCCUCUUCCACCAAGAUCUUAGUUAUAUAAAUCACUGUUAGACUCGCAUCAACCAGCCAACACGAACACAUGUAACAGGGCCAAGGCUCUACAAACCCAGAAAUGGCAAAAAAUGAAAAUACCUCUAAGGAUGGUAGGAGCAGGAGAAUAUCAGAGAAAAUACUACACUCAUCACCCAACCAUUGUACACAGCAUCCUCUGCCAGACCUCCAGAAGUGCACACUCAGUGUCAGCCUGAAUUACUGGGUGGGUUUUCUUGAACUUUUUUUUCUGGACACAAUUGGAAAAUACCCAUAAAUUUUGAAUAACAGGCUCAGCAAACAGUCCAAACACCUUGCCAAAUGUUCUCGAAGUUAGAGAACACAGGUGAAGAUAUUUCUUUCCUGGUUGAAGGACCCGUUAUCAGGUUUGGUUUGUUUCAGAAGAUCUGUGUCUUGUGCUUGAUAGGUGUUGUCUGCAGUGAUUUUCAGUUAGCUACCAGUUGAGAUUUGAUACAUUUUCAUUAUCUACUAAGUGGCAAAAGACAUGGCAACUGGUGUCAAGACCAACUUGACAGCAGUCAUGCCAGCUGCUCUGCAGAGAGAAACCAAGUGUACAUUUCUCUUACAGUGUAUUUGAUUUUGGACUAAAGACAGCAAUACAUAACAACCACAUUUAAAGUAAAAGCUGGACAAUAAACUUCUACACUGUAGCAAUAUUGCAAAGAAAGAGCUUCCAGCUCUCAAACACCACAUGCAGGUGUGACAUCUCAGCGGGAAGCAAUUCUGUCCUCUUGUUUACCAGACCAUACACGUUAUAUUUGCCAUUAAACAAACAAACAAACAAAACCCAGAA
This is a long non-coding RNA of Pogoniulus pusillus (Red-fronted tinkerbird), 1984 nucleotides long. RefSeq lists it as uncharacterized. The transcript is spliced from 5 exons. The record is from RefSeq and is a predicted model, not a curated record. Lineage: Eukaryota; Metazoa; Chordata; Aves; Piciformes; Lybiidae.